This 2181-nucleotide ribosomal RNA is filed under the name Bacillus thuringiensis serovar sylvestriensis. RNAcentral's name for it is "bacterial LSU rRNA". It matches the Rfam family "Bacterial large subunit ribosomal RNA", at positions 1 to 2180 of the family's 2925-position model. Lineage: Bacteria; Bacillati; Bacillota; Bacilli; Caryophanales; Bacillaceae. The record is from RNAcentral.
GUUUGGUUAAGUUAGAAAGGGCGCACGGUGGAUGCCUUGACACUAGGAGUCGAUGAAGGACGGGACUAACGCCGAUAUGCUUCGGGGAGCUGUAAGUAAGCUUUGAUCCGAAGAUUUCCGAAUGGGGAAACCCACCAUACGUAAUGGUAUGGUAUCCUUACCUGAAUACAUAGGGUAAGGAAGACAGACCCAGGGAACUGAAACAUCUAAGUACCUGGAGGAAGAGAAAGCAAAUGCGAUUUCCUGAGUAGCGGCGAGCGAAACGGAACAUAGCCCAAACCAAGAGGCUUGCCUCUUGGGGUUGUAGGACAUUCUAUACGGAGUUACAAAGGAACGAGGUAGACGAAGCGACCUGGAAAGGUCCGUCGUAGAGGGUAACAACCCCGUAGUCGAAACUUCGUUCUCUCUUGAAUGUAUCCUGAGUACGGCGGAACACGUGAAAUUCCGUCGGAAUCUGGGAGGACCAUCUCCCAAGGCUAAAUACUCCCUAGUGAUCGAUAGUGAACCAGUACCGUGAGGGAAAGGUGAAAAGCACCCCGGAAGGGGAGUGAAAGAGAUCCUGAAACCGUGUGCCUACAAAUAGUCAGAGCCCGUUAAUGGGUGAUGGCGUGCCUUUUGUAGAAUGAACCGGCGAGUUACGAUCCCGUGCGAGGUUAAGCUGAAGAGGCGGAGCCGCAGCGAAAGCGAGUCUGAAUAGGGCGUUUAGUACGUGGUCGUAGACCCGAAACCAGGUGAUCUACCCAUGUCCAGGGUGAAGUUCAGGUAACACUGAAUGGAGGCCCGAACCCACGCACGUUGAAAAGUGCGGGGAUGAGGUGUGGGUAGCGGAGAAAUUCCAAUCGAACCUGGAGAUAGCUGGUUCUCCCCGAAAUAGCUUUAGGGCUAGCCUUAAGUGUAAGAGUCUUGGAGGUAGAGCACUGAUUGAACUAGGGGUCCUCAUCGGAUUACCGAAUUCAGUCAAACUCCGAAUGCCAAUGACUUAUCCUUAGGAGUCAGACUGCGAGUGAUAAGAUCCGUAGUCAAGAGGGAAACAGCCCAGAUCGCCAGCUAAGGUCCCAAAGUGUGUAUUAAGUGGAAAAGGAUGUGGAGUUGCUUAGACAACUAGGAUGUUGGCUUAGAAGCAGCCACCAUUUAAAGAGUGCGUAAUAGCUCACUAGUCGAGUGACUCUGCGCCGAAAAUGUACCGGGGCUAAAUACACCACCGAAGCUGCGAAUUGAUACCAAUGGUAUCAGUGGUAGGGGAGCGUUCUAAGUGCAGUGAAGUCAGACCGGAAGGACUGGUGGAGCGCUUAGAAGUGAGAAUGCCGGUAUGAGUAGCGAAAGACGGGUGAGAAUCCCGUCCACCGAAUGCCUAAGGUUUCCUGAGGAAGGCUCGUCCGCUCAGGGUUAGUCAGGACCUAAGCCGAGGCCGACAGGCGUAGGCGAUGGACAACAGGUUGAUAUUCCUGUACCACCUCUUUAUCGUUUGAGCAAUGGAGGGACGCAGAAGGAUAGAAGAAGCGUGCGAUUGGUUGUGCACGUCCAAGCAGUUAGGCUGAUAAGUAGGCAAAUCCGCUUAUCGCGUAUGCUGAGCUGUGAUGGGGAAGCUCCUUAUGGAGCGAAGUCUUUGAUUCCCCGCUGCCAAGAAAAGCUUCUAGCGAGAUAAAAGGUGCCUGUACCGCAAACCGACACAGGUAGGCGAGGAGAGAAUCCUAAGGUGUGCGAGAGAACUCUGGUUAAGGAACUCGGCAAAAUGACCCCGUAACUUCGGGAGAAGGGGUGCUUUCUUAACGGAAAGCCGCAGUGAAUAGGCCCAAGCGACUGUUUAGCAAAAACACAGGUCUCUGCGAAGCCGUAAGGCGAAGUAUAGGGGCUGACACCUGCCCGGUGCUGGAAGGUUAAGGAGAGGGGUUAGCGUAAGCGAAGCUCUGAACUGAAGCCCCAGUAAACGGCGGCCGUAACUAUAACGGUCCUAAGGUAGCGAAAUUCCUUGUCGGGUAAGUUCCGACCCGCACGAAAGGUGUAACGAUUUGGGCACUGUCUCAACCAGAGACUCGGUGAAAUUAUAGUACCUGUGAAGAUGCAGGUUACCCGCGACAGGACGGAAAGACCCCGUGGAGCUUUACUGUAGCCUGAUAUUGAAUUUUGGUACAGUUUGUACAGGAUAGGCGGGAGCCAUUGAAACCGGAGCGCUAGCUUCGG